Molecule: ribosomal RNA, 253 nt
Filed under: uncultured bacterium
Lineage: Bacteria
Description: partial 16S ribosomal RNA
Rfam family: Bacterial small subunit ribosomal RNA
Source: RNAcentral
UACGUAGGUGGCAAGCGUUGUCCGGAUUUACUGGGCGUAAAGCGCGCGCAGGCGGUUUUGUAAGUCAGAUGUGAAAUCCCCGGGCUUAACCUGGGAACUGCGUUUGAAACUACAAGGCUAGAGUGUAGCAGAGGGGGGUGGAAUUCCACGUGUAGCAGUGAAAUGCGUAGAGAUGUGGAGGAACACCGAUGGCGAAGGCAGCCCCCUGGGUUAACACUGACGCUCAGGCACGAAAGCGUGGGGAGCAAACAGG